AAUGGUCAUUUUGUCACACUAUACACCCUGUGAUCAUUUUUUAUUUUACAAGGGGGUGAAGUGUAGAUUUUUAAAUGACAAGGGGGGAAAGUAAAAAGGCGGAUUUUGACAGAAGGAUUUUUCGUAAUUUAGCCAAAUUUUUAUAUUUUUUACAAAUUCUUAUCGUUAAGGCCUGUUAGAAAAUUUUAGUUAACAAAAAAUAAAAUAGUUAAUUCUAGUUAGUCAACAAGAUAAAUUAAUACUUUUAUCACUCUUAUAUUAUAUCUUUUUUCUCAGUCAAAAUUCUAACAAUAAAAAUUCUUUUUUUUCUUUCUCUUUUUCUUCCUCUUCCUUUCUCUUUUUUGUGCUACUUUCGAACCCGUAACCAAAAUUUCUCCAUCCCCAUUCAUCCACAACGUGUGUUGUUUCGUCUAUAUCGAACGCGUGUUGCAUGUUUCUCAAUUUAAUUUUCUCUAUAAUUUUUUUUCUUAUUUUGCUCAAAAGAAAAAAUUUAGAAAAAAAAAAAGAGUGAGAGAAAAGAUUACAACAAUAGUGGAUUAGGUUGUGUUUUAAAGAGGAAGAAGAUGACUAUUGAAAUUUUUUGGGAAAAUAUUUUUGCACGAUUAUAGCAGCUGAGGUUUUUAGAUGGACAUAUUUAUGAUGCCAAAAUUGAUAUUUCACUUAUCUGUUGCUAAAAAAUAAAUAGUUCUCUAACGGUAAUAAACCAGAGGGACAAACAUAAAUAUCACUGAACUUUUGCAGGAAUAGAUUGUGACACCACUUUAUCUAUAUUUAAAUUAAUUANGCUCAAAGGAAAAAAUUUAGAAAAAAAAAAAGAGUGAGAGAAAAGAUUACAACAAUUGUGGAUUAGGUUGUGUUUUAAAGAGGAAGAAGAUGACUAUUGAAAUUUUUUGGGAAAAUAUUUUUGCACGAUUAUAACAGUUGAAGUUUUUAGAUGGACAUAUUUGUGAUGCCAAAAUUGAUAUUUCACUUAUUUGUUCCUAAAAAAUAAAUAGUUCUGUAAUAAACCAGAAAAAUAAAUAUAAAUAUCACUGAACUUUAGUAGAGAUAAGAGUUGAAAACUAAAUUUUAUAGGGAUAUAUUUGCUAUUCUCGAUGUUUACAAAGAGCAGUAUGUAAUUAAACCAGAAAUAAAAUAAGAAAAAAAAAGUUGGAUGGUGAGGAGCAGGAGGCAGGUUUUGUGUGAUUGUGACACCACUUUAUCUAUAUUUAAAUUAAUUAAAUAUUUUAAUUUGAAAGAAAAUAUAAUAAAAAUAUUUUUUAAAAAUUUUAUAUUAGAAAUACCACUUUUUU
RNAcentral lists this long non-coding RNA (1292 nucleotides) under Ananas comosus (pineapple). Its description in RNAcentral is "long non-coding RNA (ACOM_LNC024936)". The record is from RNAcentral. Lineage: Eukaryota; Viridiplantae; Streptophyta; Magnoliopsida; Poales; Bromeliaceae.